RNAcentral lists this ribosomal RNA (450 nucleotides) under uncultured bacterium. Its description in RNAcentral is "bacterial SSU rRNA". It matches the Rfam family "Bacterial small subunit ribosomal RNA", at positions 354 to 796 of the family's 1533-position model. The record is from RNAcentral.
GUGGGGAAUAUUGGACAAUGGGCGAAAGCCUGAUCCAGCCAUGCCGCGUGUGUGAAGAAGGUCUUCGGAUUGUAAAGCACUUUAAGUUGGGGGGAAGGGCAGUAAGUUAAUACCUUGCUGUUUUGACGUUACCGACAGAAUAAGCACCGGCUAACUUCGUGCCAGCAGCCGCGGUAAUACGAAGGGUGCAAGCGUUAAUCGGAAUUACUGGGCGUAAAGCGCGCGUAGGUGGUUUUGUAAGUUGGAGGUGAAAUCCCCGGGCUCAACCUGGGAACUGCAUCCAAAACUGCAUGACUAGAGUACGGUAGAGGGUAGUGGAAUUUCCUGUGUAGCGGUGAAAUGCGUAGAUAUAGGAAGGAACACCAGUGGCGAAGGCGACUACCUGGACUGAUACUGACACUGAGGUGCGAAAGCGUGGGGAGCAAACAGGAUUAGAUACCCUAGUAGUCC